Molecule: long non-coding RNA, 1583 nt
Organism: Homo sapiens (human)
Lineage: Eukaryota; Metazoa; Chordata; Mammalia; Primates; Hominidae
Source: Ensembl
GUGAACUUUCUUGAUACUACCUCACUCUUUCACCUUGGCCCAUUGCUGGGUUUCUGGGUCUGAUUUGAGCCCCAGCCAGUCCGGGAGUGACAGCCAAGAGGUCUACGGAGCAGGCAGCCCACCCCAGGGCCUCCUCAGACCCCAGUCCUGUGGUUGCUCUAAAUCAUGGCUCAGGAAGGGCACAACCUCAGGACCCAUGUGCAGAGCUCAGCGAGGGUCACGUGGUCCCCACUCUGCUGCCCAGGGGUCUCUCUGCUAUGAACCCCACUCAUCCUAGGGACAACUUGGUCCCCACCAAGCCCUCCAGAGCUGGAUCAGUGGAAUCAGGGGAAGAAGGAGGAAGCUUCACAGUCCACCCCAUGGGAGCGGCCCCUACCCACUGCGAAAGACCAAGUGGAGAUGGCAAGUCAUGUGCCCGUGCACACGCGUGUGGAUGCGCAUGCGCGUACCCAGCCCAGGGACAGCCGAGAGGGAACCCGACAAAGAGAUGGAGGUGGGCCAGCGACUGAGGCAGAGACAAAUAGGGCUCCAGGAGAGCGCGACAGACAGGAAAUCCUUCUAAAUCAGGACACAGCCCCAAAACGUUAUUGCUGUUAUUACUAUUAGCUCUGUGUAAAGGAGCAAGUGGGAGCAAGGAUCCGGUGCGAGUGCAGCCCCUGCCACGCGCCUCCGGGCGCUGCUCCGGGCGCUGCUGGCAGCCAUUUUAGACCUUGGCAGCCAUCUUACGGCUGGCGGCCUCAGCCGGAGGCCCACAAUGCCGCGACCGCCGGCCCCUGACAUGCUCAGCUCAGCUCCAGGACAAAAGGCAGAGACAUGGGAAAUCUGGACCCAGGCUCAGAGGCACAGGAGCCAGGCCUGCGGCCGGGGCAGCUGCAGCCAGGGCCCCACUGAUCUGCUCAAGUGGUGUUCUCCUUCUCCCCGCUGGCCAGCACAGUGAAAGGAGCAGGGAAGGCUGAAGCCAGGGGCAGGGGACACCGCAGCUCUACUCAAAGGUGGCUAAAGUCCUCACAGGCCAUCUCUAGCCAGGGCCUUAACUAGCUCAGCAAGAGUAGACCCCUGCCCCGAUAGGGCCGCAGGCACCUCGGGACACCAGGGAUGUGACGGGGGAAGGUCUCUGAGCACCCUGUCAGCUCGGGGAUGUGCCUUGGAUAGAUAGAGGAAGGAGGCUGGCAGGAACCAGCCAGUGGCUGCAGGGCCCAGAGAGGCCACUAGGUCCAUGGUGAAAGGGCUCCUGGGGAGGCAGCUCCUGGGGAGGCAAGGAGACGUCCUGCCCACCAGAGGCACAACGUGGGCCAGCUUUCUUACCUGGCAGGCUCUUUGGGGAGCCUUGCCUUGAGGUCUACACCUGCUCUGGACAGGUGACAGGAGCUGCAGAGCAUCUCCAUGUCGUGACUGCCUUCCCUGUCUGGGCUUCCCCGGGGGAGGGGAUAACCCUGGGAUUUGGGACAGAAAGGAGGAAGGCCCCUUUAGGAUGCCCCUCCCCAGGCCCUGCCUCGUGGCUGCUCUGCUUUUAUCUGGCAGAAUGGGGCUUAUCAGAGCCACCAGCUGAACAAAUACACAAAUCCACGGUUAGUGAGAAAAAA